AGGAUCAAAAUUGUGAUGGCAUGUCUUCGGAUCAUCCUCCGGGAUGUUUCCCAGACCGUCGCCAAUAGCCCAUUGUGCAGCUCUAGUGCGACGUAAAUUAACAACAACAGCAAGUGCCUUCGUUUCCCCCUCCCAACUUCUGCAGUGGAGUGAAAUGUGAUGAUCUGUCUAACUGCUUGAGAGAGAAUGGACAGAAAAUCAGAGAGAAAGGAAGCUUCUGCAAGUGCUGCGAUAUCUGCGUCAAAGUAUUAGGCGAAGGAGAGAGAUGCAUGCCAGAUCACAUCCUCGGAUCAAUAUCAGCAUCCGAAUGUCACAGAAGUCACUGGAAGUGCGUCACCAUGGAAGAAUUCUUAGAAGACUAAAACUAUACUCAAAAAGUAUUUGUACAAAAAUGAAAAUAAAACACACAAUAC
Parasteatoda tepidariorum (common house spider) is the source of this 413-nucleotide non-coding RNA. The record is from RefSeq and is a predicted model, not a curated record. NCBI's taxonomy places the organism in Eukaryota, Metazoa, Arthropoda, Arachnida, Araneae, Theridiidae.